RNAcentral lists this ribosomal RNA (254 nucleotides) under uncultured bacterium. RNAcentral describes it as "partial 16S ribosomal RNA". It matches the Rfam family "Bacterial small subunit ribosomal RNA", at positions 524 to 776 of the family's 1533-position model. The record is from RNAcentral.
GACGAACCGUGCGAACGUUAUUCGGAAUCACUGGGCUUAAAGAGCGCGUAGGCGGCGUCGUAAGUCGGAGGUGAAAUCCCAUCGGCUCAACCGUGGAACUGCCCCCGAUACUGCGACGCUUGAGGAAGAUAGGGGCACGUGGAACUUCCAGUGGAGCGGUGAAAUGUGUUGAGAUUGGAAGGAACGCCAGUGGCGAAAGCGGCGUGCUGGGUCUUCUCUGACGCUGUGGCGCGAAAGCUAGGGGAGCAAACGGG